This 497-nucleotide ribosomal RNA is filed under the name uncultured bacterium. Its description in RNAcentral is "partial 16S ribosomal RNA". It matches the Rfam family "Bacterial small subunit ribosomal RNA", at positions 28 to 507 of the family's 1533-position model. The record is from RNAcentral.
GACGAACGCUGGCGGCGUGCCUAAUACAUGCAAGUUGAGCGAUGAAGAUUGGUGCUUGCCCCAAUUUGAAGAGCAGCGAACGGGUGAGUAACGCGUGGGGAAUCUGCCUUUGAGCGGGGGACAACAUUUGGAAACGAAUGCUAAUACCGCAUAACAACUUUAAACAUAAGUUUUAAGUUUGAAAGAUGCAAUUGCAUCACUCAAAGAUGAUCCCGCGUUGUAUUAGCUAGUUGGUGAGGUAAAGGCUCACCAAGGCGAUGAUACAUAGCCGACCUGAGAGGGUGAUCGGCCACAUUGGGACUGAGACACGGCCCAAACUCCUACGGGAGGCAGCAGUGGGGAAUCUUCGGCAAUGGACGAAAGUCUGGCCGAGCAACGCCGCGUGAGUGAAGAAGGGUUUCGGAUCGUAAAACUCUGUUGGUAGAGAAGAACGUUGGUGAGAGUGGAAAGCUCAUCAAGUGACGGUAACUACCCAGAAAGGGACGGCUAACUACGUG